GCGGGCGUAGCUUAAUGGCGAAGCAUCACUUUUCCAAAGUGAAUAUUGCAGGUUCGAGUCCUGUCGCCCGCUCCA
RNAcentral lists this transfer RNA (75 nucleotides) under Verrucomicrobiota bacterium. RNAcentral describes it as "Verrucomicrobia bacterium (freshwater metagenome) tRNA-Gly". It matches the Rfam family "tRNA". From Rfam's summary of the family: Transfer RNA (tRNA) molecules are approximately 80 nucleotides in length. Their secondary structure includes four short double-helical elements and three loops (D, anti-codon, and T loops). Further hydrogen bonds mediate the characteristic L-shaped molecular structure. tRNAs have two regions of fundamental functional importance: the anti-codon, which is responsible for specific mRNA codon recognition, and the 3' end, to which the tRNAs corresponding amino acid is attached (by aminoacyl-tRNA synthetases). tRNAs cope with the degeneracy of the genetic code in two manners: having more than one tRNA (with a specific anti-codon) for a particular amino acid; and 'wobble' base-pairing, i.e. permitting non-standard base-pairing at the 3rd anti-codon position. The record is from RNAcentral. Lineage: Bacteria; Pseudomonadati; Verrucomicrobiota.